UACAGAGGUGGCAAGCGUUGUUCGGAAUUACUGGGCGUAAAGGGCUCGUAGGUGGCCAACUAAGUCGGACGUGAAAUCCCUCGGCUUAACCGGGGAACUGCGUCCGAUACUGGUUGGCUUGAGUUUGGGAGAGGGAUGCGGAAUUCCAGGUGUAGCGGUGAAAUGCGUAGAUAUCUGGAGGAACACCGGUGGCGAAGGCGGCAUCCUGGACCAAUACUGACGCUGAGGAGCGAAAGCCAGGGGAGCAAACGGG
RNAcentral lists this ribosomal RNA (253 nucleotides) under uncultured bacterium. RNAcentral describes it as "partial 16S ribosomal RNA". It matches the Rfam family "Bacterial small subunit ribosomal RNA", at positions 524 to 776 of the family's 1533-position model. The record is from RNAcentral.